AGAGUUUGAUCAUGGCUCAGGAUGAACGCUGGCGGCGUGCCUAACACAUGCAAGUCGAGCGAAGCACUUUACUUUGAUUCUUCGGAUGAAGAGUUUUGUGACUGAGCGGCGGACGGGUGAGUAACGCGUGGGUAACCUGCCUCAUACAGGGGGAUAACAGUUAGAAAUGACUGCUAAUACCGCAUAAGACCACAGCACCGCAUGGUGCAGGGGUAAAAACUCCGGUGGUAUGAGAUGGACCCGCGUCUGAUUAGCUAGUUGGUAAGGUAACGGCUUACCAAGGCAACGAUCAGUAGCCGACCUGAGAGGGUGACCGGCCACAUUGGGACUGAGACACGGCCCAAACUCCUACGGGAGGCAGCAGUGGGGAAUAUUGCACAAUGGGGGAAACCCUGAUGCAGCGACGCCGCGUGAGCGAAGAAGUAUUUCGGUAUGUAAAGCUCUAUCAGCAGGGAAGAAACUGACGGUACCUGACUAAGAAGCACCGGCUAAAUACGUGCCAGCAGCCGCGGUAAUACGUAUGGUGCAAGCGUUAUCCGG
This 540-nucleotide ribosomal RNA is filed under the name uncultured bacterium. RNAcentral describes it as "bacterial SSU rRNA". It matches the Rfam family "Bacterial small subunit ribosomal RNA", at positions 8 to 548 of the family's 1533-position model. The record is from RNAcentral.